GACGAACGCUGGCGGCGUGCUUAACACAUGCAAGUCGAACGGAAUGGCCCCUUUGGGGGUACUCGAGUGGCGAACGGGUGAGUAACACGUGAGUAACCUGCCCUUGACUUCGGGAUAACUUCAGGAAACUGGGGCUAAUACCGGAUAGGAAUCCUUGCUGCAUGGUGGGGGUUGGAAAGCUUCGGCGGUUUUGGAUGGACUCGCGGCUUAUCAGCUUGUUGGUGGGGUAGUGGCUUACCAAGGCUUUGACGGGUAGCCGGCCUGAGAGGGCGACCGGCCACAUUGGGACUGAGAUACGGCCCAGACUCCUACGGGAGGCAGCAGUGGGGAAUAUUGCACAAUGGGCGGAAGCCUGAUGCAGCAACGCCGCGUGCGGGAUGACGGCCUUCGGGUUGUAAACCGCUUUCAGCAGGGGCGAAGCUUGUGGUGACGGUACCUGCAGAAGAAGCACCGGCUAACUACGUG
RNAcentral lists this ribosomal RNA (465 nucleotides) under uncultured bacterium. RNAcentral's name for it is "partial 16S ribosomal RNA". It matches the Rfam family "Bacterial small subunit ribosomal RNA", at positions 28 to 507 of the family's 1533-position model. The record is from RNAcentral.